UUUUUUUUUUUUUUAACUUGAGUUAUUAUAUUUUCUGUUCUACAAAUUCCACUAGUUUUUCUAUAUAGCUUCUAUUUUUUGUUGUUGAGACUCUAUCUUUUCAUUCAUUUCAAGAGUGUUUACCCUCAUUUAUUAGUGUGUUUUUAUAAUAACUGUUUUAAAAUCUUAGUUUGACAAUUCCAGCAUCUGUGUCAUCUUACCAUUAAAUCCUGGUUGUUCGUAAAUUGAGUAACUUUGCAUUAUAUCCAAGAUAUUUUGAAUAUUAUGUUAUUAGAGGCCAGGUCUUUAAAUCUCAUGGAGAAUGUUUCUACUUUUUGUUUUAGCAAUCAACCUGCUUCCAUUCAGGUUGCAAAUUCUGACCAGCCUUCUGUGAGCUGUGCUUUCAAUAUCAGUUGUUUUCAAAGCCUUUGUGAUACAGUUUGGAUCUGUCUAGAGUGUGUGCAACCCAGUGGCCAUUCUUUGACCUUUACAUUGUUCUAUAUCUCUGUUCAGUUCUCAAAAUCUUUUGUGUAAUGUUUAAAAUCAUAUCCAUGCAGACACAGGUUUGGAAUGAUUUCAGGAAUUCAUAAACAACUUUAUGGGGUCACUUUCACAAGCUCAUCCUCUGUGAUCUCCCCAGUUUUCUCCUACUUCCCUAGGGCUCCCUUUUCCAGUUCUCUAGCCAGACAUAACCAUAAUUCAUCUGAAGCAUAGUGGGGAUCUUCUGACAUAGAAUACCCCAUUACCUGACAGUUCUUCCAGAAUAACAUUUACCAACCACCUACCAUGGGCUAGGUUCUAGUCUAAGGACUUAACGUAUAUUAUCUCACUUAACUCUCACAAAAACUCUAUGAAUAAGGUAUUACUAUUAUUGCCAUUUCUCUUUUAUAGAUUGGGAACCUGAGGCCCAUAAAGGGUAAACCUUUAACCCAAGGAUGCACAACUAUAUAUGGUGGAAUAAGUAAUGGGCCAAGAUUUGAACACAAAGAAGUUGUCUUAACUAUUACACAGUUCUGCAACUAUAAUGUGAUCUCAUUGUAUGAGCCAUUCUUCUAUACUCCUACCCUGCUUUGCACACACUUUCAUUAAAUCAAUUAUGCAUAAUUAUUUAAAAUAAAUAAAAAUAAUUUUAUGCCACUAUCACCAGAAGCAAUGAUUCUCUCUUUUCAAAUUUGAAUUAUCGUCAAGCACCAAGUGUAUUAGUUCCCUAGGGCUGCCAUAACAAAUUACCACAAACUAGGUGGCUUAAAAUAAAAGAAAUUUAUUCUCUUACAGUUCUGGAGCCCAGAAGUCUCAAAUCAAGGUGUCAGCAGAUCUGUACUCCCCUUGGAGGCUCUAGGGCACAAUCCUUCCUUGCCUCUUCCUUGCCUCUGCCAUUUGGUGGCUGUUAGCAUUCUUUGUGGCUCUAUCACUCCAGUCUCUGCCUCCAUCUUCAUAUGGUUUUGUCCCCUGUAUGUCUGUGUCUUCACCUCUUAUGUCGUGUGUCUCUGAUCUGUGCGUUUCUUAUAAGGACACUCAUCAUUAUAUUUAGGAUCUGUCUCAAUAAUACACAAGAUACACAAUCAUCUCCUCUUGAGAUUCUUAAUGUAAUUAUGUCUGCAAAGACCCUUGUUCCAAAUAAAUCACAUUCACAGCUUCUGAGACGUAUCUUUAACCCACUGUACCUAACACAGACCAUGUUAUUGCUCAGUAAAUACUGUAUUAGUCAGACAUUUCUCCACUAAAUGACAUAAAUCCAAUUCAGACUAGCUUAAGCAAAAAGGUAACUUUCUUGUUCACAUAACUGGCAAGCUGGAGGGUACUUCUGGCAUCAAACAAGGUUGCAUCCAAGGAGUCAACAGUAUCUUUCAGUCUUUCCACCUUUCAAUUUUUCUUUCAUAUGGGUACUACUUUAUUUUCAAGAAGAUCCGCCAUCAAAAAGAAGAGAAAUCUUUAUUUUGUCACCAUCCAUAUAUCAAAUCUUGGUGAAGGUUUUGAUUAUUUCUGCUUAGUUCACAUGCCCACCCUGAAUGAAUCACUAUAACCAGAGGAAUGGAGUUGUUUGAUUGGCCAAUCAUUCCAUGACCUCUCUGUGGCUGGGAUAUGUGGUGGCAGAUGGAGGCCAGGAGAGAGGCAUUGUGAUUAAUAUCCUACCAGAACCACAUAGAAUGGAGGUGAGUCAGUUCUCCAGGGGAGGAGACAUUGAGAAGGCCAAUAAUAUCUGGCUGCUGUAACAUCCAAGUCUGUGGUAUUUGGAGGCCCAAGUGCAUUGCUGAUGAAAGACUUAAUAAGUCUUUCCUAUGUGUAUCUUUGAUGAUCUUUUCAUAUGCUUAAUUAGCUUAAUCCAAGAGACUUUAUCCUACUCAUCUCUGAGGCUUGUCAUCUUCAGACUCUCUCUAGAAAUUAUGUAUUUAGAAUAUAGAUGCACAGGGGAGGUCCCCUUUCUAUUUACAAGUUUGGGUUUGCAGUGCCUCAGAGACCCCUGCCUAUUCCCAAGGUGCUUCACUGUAGGUAGGAGGGACAACAUCAAGACGCUGGCUUUGUGGGGCAAACAGCUCCAAAAGUCUCAUCGGGAUUCCAGCUCAAGCCUUCCCUGUUUCCCAACACCCUUGCACUCCAAGUUUUCAAAAUGCCCUUACAAAGGCAUGACCCUGCUGUAGCCCUGAAGUCAUUACUACGUAGGUCAUCCUGCUCCCUACCUACAGACGUUGAUUGUGGCUGGAACCAGAAAAUCUCUUUAGAGUAUGGACUCACCUCCUCUAUGACCUCAUGUUGAGGACUCUGUGGGGUCAGGGCUCAAGUGCAUUCUAAAGCACAGGAUGCUGGGUAUCCAGAAAGACUUCUGCCCUUUUCUCUGACAGUAUCUCCCAUCCCACUCCCAGUCACACUCCCCAACUCUUCUUUUAAGCCUCCUUACUUCUGUCAGUUUGCAUCAUCCCAGAUCAGCCUAUGUUCUGAGAGGACUUUUGUCCAAGUUCCCUUGACUCGGGGGCUCCCCUGUGGUAGUAUAUUAUCUCCUGUUCUCUUAGCCCUCAGCAGACUUACAUCCUGUAGCAGAUGCAUCUGGUGCCCUGUCACAUGUUCUAGUGGUCAAACAUCUGACUCCAGCAAUGGCCAGGCUGGACAGUUCUAUGUGAAUUAAGGUUCACGUGCCUCACCAAGAGUAAGCAGCACGCCUUUGUUCUCUGCCCCAAGGCACUUAGAAGGCUCAGGACACUGCAUGCCCAGCUCAGAAGUUCAGGAAUGUCAACACAUACACAAAGACAGCCCUCAACCAAUGGCAGAUGGGAGCCAGUGAAUUAAUGUUCCUGCCUCCUAUGUUUCAGAUGAAUAUUUUUUGGAGGUAUCCUGGGUGCUUUGUAGGAGGUCCUGGCAGAACUGGCCCCUGCUAAUGUACCUUUACAUUGGCUUUCUCUACACCCCUGCUCACACUCCCCGCUCCUACACUCCCACCCACUGGAAUCACUUCUCCCAACAAACUACCUGUUCUCAAAUAUUCGUUUCAGGCUCUGCUUUGAGCAGCCCAAGUAAGACACAGCCUCACUUGCCAGCCAAAAGGGGUAUGACCCCAGUGGAUGUCCAGCCCUCACUGUUUCUCUCCUUGCAGAGCCCAGAGACAGCAGCCUGGGAGCUGGCUUUAGUUGGGGAUGGAGGAAUAGUGAAGGAGGAAGGAGGGAGAAGGGGAGGCCAAGAGUCUGAGCAAGGAGUCAGGAUGGGAUGGUGGGGAGGGUCUAGGCUAUGUCCUGUCACCACUCUUACUGACGGUAUCACAUAACUGCAUCCCACAGUGUGCUAGAUUUGAAAUCCUAGCUCUGCCACUUCCUGGUAGUGUCAACUAGAUCACCCUGAAUUUGCCCUUUCACCUUCUCGGGGGUCAUCUUUUGACCUGGUGGAGUAUAUUCCCCCUGUCUGUAAUUUACUGAAUUGUCUGUUAAUCAGCCACAAAGCCAAGCAUCUUGGUCUCUGUGGUUGAUUACUCUACCAGUAGUGAGAGAGCUUUUUUUAGGACUUGUUUUUUCCUACAGUCACCUCCCCUUAAGAACCCAGCACACUCCUCAGAAUUGCUGGUUUCCUGGGUCCCCGGACUAAGCUCCUAUUCCCAGAUCGCUUCCCUCUUCUAGGCGGUAUUCUACCACACGGCAAGUGAGGAGAAGUCCAGGUGCCCGGAGUGUUCAGCUGGCCCCUCUCCUGAGGCCGAUGCUCAUUCUCGCUGCCUGUGACUGAAGUGCUAACAGGAGCAGCGCCAGGGCCCUUGUUGCAGGGCCUUCACUGCCUUCUCGCUGUGUUUACACUAGUCGCCCAGCUUGACAAUCCCCCGUCAUCUCUGAAACGAGCCCUGGAAACUUUGGCCCAGCCCAGCAUUCACAGAUGAUUCCUCAUAUCUUUCAUCUCCCAGGCCCAGAGGACAAACUCUUUUCCUUUGUGUUCUAUUUUGACAUUAUUCUGCCUCUUUGUUCCCAUUUUAGGGCAGUGUGAGGGGAGCUCUGUGCAUUAGCUUUUGCGGGCUUUAAUGAAGCAGGAUUUGACAGCAUUUCAUAUCAGGUAUCAUCUUUUGUGUGCAUGGGGAGAAGGGCUGAGAAAUGUUCCUUUAACUGGUGCCAGAAGAGAAGGCAGAGAAAGACAAGAAAAAAAAUCUGAUAACUACUUUUUUCCAUUAAAGUCCCAGCCCCUUUCUAAAACAGGCUAUUCGUCUAUAUUUCAAAUCAGUUGGGAAUCCUAUCUUUCCACAACAGCAUUUCCUUACUUCCUGGAAACAUUUAUCACAGGAUGUAUAAUAAAUGUUUAUGCUAGCCGUAAAGAGGAAAGUAACAUUUCAUAAAAUUUACCAUAGACCCCAAGGUGAAUUUAAUAUAGGAGCCUGAGUGACGAAUCCCAAAGCAAGUGAAUUUGGGCUUAAAGCCCAUCCUGAACUGACUUCAUUAUGCAUCGCUGAUGUUCGGGGGAAAAAAAUUCAACAGCAAAACUUCCUGAGAUCCCCACAUGGAUGAAUCGAAGUGAGGCUCUCACAUUAACCCUGCACUUUCCUACUUGUCGUUCCAAUGCCCCACAUGAAGGACGAUGACUGAGCAGUUGGCAGGUGGCUGCUCUCUGUGCCCUUGAAGGAUGGAACAAGAGGAAACAGCUGAAAAUGGCCACAAGAUGAGGUCUGCUGACAGACCACUUCAAUUACACAGAAAGGACUGCUUCGUCCAGGGAUAAAGAGGCUAUCACGAGUCAGCCUUGGCUCAACAUGGCAGGUGCACUUAGCCACUGAAACCAGGACUGUUGUAGACCAGAGCAUGCCUUUGUGACAGUCCAUUAAUAGAACAGAGGGUUUUCUGCUCAGGCUAGUUGAGGCCCACUCCAACUAGAGUCCGGGACAAGUGUGAUUCACUUGCCUGCGGAAGCCGAAAGAGGUCCAUGUUUCUUUGUGAAUCACAGUACCUGGGAUUGGACUCCAGGGCUUUUCUAGAAACUAUAGGAGGAGCCAUACUGAGGAAAUGGGAAUCAGGAAACUCCUUUUCCUACACUUAUUCUGCAGGUGCUGUUUUAUGAGUGGCCAGGAGAAAAAAAUCCUACGCAUACGAUCUGAUAGGAGUUAUUUCCAGGUGGUCUGAAACUUCAAAUAAAUAGCUCCUGAAAAAAAAAAAGUCUCUGGCCUGAGGGAACAUGACAGAACCCUGAGUACAGCCCAGCAGGGGGAUAGACAGCCUGUGCCACUGUCAUCUGGCCAGAGGAGGACAAUCUGGGGAACUAGGCAGAUCUUGAGCCAAAGCCAACUGGCUCUGAGAUUCAUUCCUUCCCACUCUCCCUUCUUGGUCCCAGCAAACUCACCCUAUUCAUUUUUAUUGUGGGGAAAACAAGAUCAACUGGAAAUAGCACAUAUCUGGAGGGAAGGAAAGCACAGUUCAUCCAGGGAGAAUGUUUUCUAUGGCGAACACCACACUGAAGAUGUCUCCCUUACAGCUUGGAAGGCAGUGCGACUAGGCUGAGGCCAGCACAAAAUUUAAGGAGGUACUUAACUCUGAAGGCUUGCCUCUGCACUUGCACUACCUUGAGAGUCCCUGACUCCUUAAAUUUUGCCCCUGGGCACCUUGGCUGCUUUGCUCUGCCUGGUUAGGGAAGGAUACCUAACCUGGGCCACCAGGUGACCUGUGAGUAGCUGCCCUUUCUUCUGAUGGGCUGCUUGUGGCUGACACAGUCCUGAAGGGGCCCAAAGUGACCCCAGAGAAGAGAUGUGGGGAGUUCCCAUUGUGGCUCAGUGGAAACGAAUCUGACUGGCAUCCAUGAGGAUAAAGGUUCGAUCCCUGGCCUUGCUCUGUGGGUUAAGGAUCCAGCGUUGCCAUGAGCUGUGGUGUGGGUCACAGACAUAACUUGGAUCUGAUGUUGCUGUGGCUGUGGCUGGAGAUUCGACAUACAGCUCUGACUUGACCCCUAGGCUGGGAACCUCCAUAUGCCGCAGGUGCAGCCCUAAAAAGAAGACAAAAAAAAAAAAAAGAGAGAGAGAGAGAGAGAGAGAGAGAUUUGGGUCAUUUAAGGCCCAUGGCAGCCACAACCUGAACAAGUUGUAAAAGGAUAAUUUUUCAUUGAAAGCUGCACUUGUCCUUGAGGUAUCAAAAAGUGGAUGCUGUGUGAUGCCAGGCCCUCACUGCCCCCACUGGAAGAUGCUUUGCCAGCCAAGGAAGGGGAUUUAACUAACUGUGUCUGGGCUUUGGACUCUACCAUGCUAUCCCAAGGGCUAAUUUCUGGAUCCAAAAUUAGCAGAACCACCAAGGACUUCCCUUUCGAGCACUUAACUCAGAGAACCGCUCAGUGGCCAGUGCAAGGGAACAGACUCAACUUUGCAAAUGUAUGUUUUUAAGCUUGAGUGGUCUUUUGUUUCAUUCUCUGAUGAUGUCAAGUUCCAGCAAUGUGCUCUCUCCUCCCAGCGUGCUGGAAAUGGGAGAGAAAGACAAGCACUGUCCACAGUGCACGCGGGUCCAGUGAAGCAAAAAGCCUCCCCUCCCAUCUUGACUAGGGAGGCUGCGUGCUGUUAAGUGAGGAGCCAGCGGGCCCAGCCCUGGCAGACCAGUAACCAUGCAGUUAGGUAGCAGCGGUUGCUGGAGCUCUCCACAAUCCCUCAGCCAAUCCUUCCUCCUGCUCUGAGACCUGGGGAGCCCCGCAGGGCUGCCUCAGCCCAGUGCUGCUCUAUAGAGAUGGACAGGGCUGCUCUGACCCUCCUGGCUGCAAGUGCCAGCAUGGAGCCAAAAAGCAUGUAGAUUUAACGGUCAUAUUUUAACCAUUAAAGUGAAGAGAGAUGAAACCCAAAUAGUGGCUCUAAAACCAGAAAUCUGGGGGCUUUGAGGGGUCAGGAAUUGGUACUGUUUAUAACCUCCAUGGUGGUUGGUUGUUCUUCACACCAAAGUUUGAGGACCACUGAGCUGAAGUGCCCCCUCCCCCGCAUCUCCAGGAUCUCCCAAACAGACCAGAUCCCGGGAGGCAUGCUGAGUACUUACUAAAAAUUCAGAUUCCUAGGCCCAUCAAUGGGUGACCUGAAUCCAUAGGGCAGAAAUGGAAACAUCCCCUGGCAGGUGGAUGUGGAGACUGAGAUACCAAAACCAAUUCUUCCUGCCCUUCCUGCCCUCCCCGCUCCAGUGCCAGGCGAGUGAGCUGAGAACUAUGACCCCAGGCCGAGGCUGUACACGUAAAUGUUGGGUGCGCAGGCUCUGGGUUUGAAU
This 7655-nucleotide long non-coding RNA is filed under the name Sus scrofa (pig). Its description in RNAcentral is "lncRNA (ENSSSCG00005007692.1)". The record is from RNAcentral. Lineage: Eukaryota; Metazoa; Chordata; Mammalia; Artiodactyla; Suidae.